RNAcentral lists this ribosomal RNA (572 nucleotides) under Saccharomyces cerevisiae (brewer's yeast). Its description in RNAcentral is "partial large subunit ribosomal RNA". It matches the Rfam family "Eukaryotic large subunit ribosomal RNA", at positions 44 to 630 of the family's 3401-position model. The record is from RNAcentral. Lineage: Eukaryota; Fungi; Ascomycota; Saccharomycetes; Saccharomycetales; Saccharomycetaceae.
CCAAAAGCGGAGGAAAAGAAACCAACCGGGAUUGCCUUAGUAACGGCGAGUGAAGCGGCAAAAGCUCAAAUUUGAAAUCUGGUACCUUCGGUGCCCGAGUUGUAAUUUGGAGAGGGCAACUUUGGGGCCGUUCCUUGUCUAUGUUCCUUGGAACAGGACGUCAUAGAGGGUGAGAAUCCCGUGUGGCGAGGAGUGCGGUUCUUUGUAAAGUGCCUUCGAAGAGUCGAGUUGUUUGGGAAUGCAGCUCUAAGUGGGUGGUAAAUUCCAUCUAAAGCUAAAUAUUGGCGAGAGACCGAUAGCGAACAAGUACAGUGAUGGAAAGAUGAAAAGAACUUUGAAAAGAGAGUGAAAAAGUACGUGAAAUUGUUGAAAGGGAAGGGCAUUUGAUCAGACAUGGUGUUUUGUGCCCUCUGCUCCUUGUGGGUAGGGGAAUCUCGCAUUUCACUGGGCCAGCAUCAGUUUUGGUGGCAGGAUAAAUCCAUAGGAAUGUAGCUUGCCUCGGUAAGUAUUAUAGCCUGUGGGAAUACUGCCAGCUGGGACUGAGGACUGCGACGUAAGUCAAGGAUGCUGCA